CAUGAAGUUGGAUUCGCUAGUAAUCGCGCAUCAGCCAUGGCGCGGUGAAUACGUUCCCGGGCCUUGUACACACCGCCCGUCAAGCCAUGGGAGCCGGGGGUGCCUGAAGUUCGUGACCGCAAGGAGCGACCUAGGGCAAAACUGGUGACUGGGGCUAAGUCGUAACAAGGUAGC
This 174-nucleotide ribosomal RNA is filed under the name uncultured bacterium. RNAcentral describes it as "partial 16S ribosomal RNA". It matches the Rfam family "Bacterial small subunit ribosomal RNA", at positions 1319 to 1500 of the family's 1533-position model. The record is from RNAcentral.